RNAcentral lists this ribosomal RNA (468 nucleotides) under uncultured bacterium. Its description in RNAcentral is "partial 16S ribosomal RNA". It matches the Rfam family "Bacterial small subunit ribosomal RNA", at positions 28 to 507 of the family's 1533-position model. The record is from RNAcentral.
GACGAACGCUGGCGGCGUGCUUAACACAUGCAAGUCGAACGGUAAAAUAAGGUCUUGUUCUUCUGGAUCGGUUGCGAAGGGGGAAGCAACACUUAGGUAACCUGCCCCUGCCCGUGAAAUAAGCUCUGAAAGGGUCGUCUAUUACGGCAAACGAUUCAUCGCCUUUUGGUUACCGCCCGUAAGGUUUUCCGGUUGGGAAUGGACUCGCGGCCUAUCAGCUUGUUGGUGAGGUACUGGCCCACCAAGGCAACGACGGGUAGCGGGCCUGAAAGGCCGACCGGCCACACUGGGACUGAGACACGGCCCAGACUCCUACGGGAGGCAGCGGUGGGGAAUAGUGCACAAUGGGCGAAAGCCUGAUGCAGCGACGCCGCGUGGGGGAUGACGGCCUUCGGGUUGUAAACCUCUUUCAGCAGGGAAGAAGCGAAAGUGACAGUACCUGCAGAAGAAGCACCGGCUAACUACGUG